AUGGUUGUCGUCAGCUCGUGUCGUGAGAUGUUGGGUUAAGUCCCGCAACGAGCGCAACCCUUGAUAUUAGUUGCCAUCAUUUAGUUGGGCACUCUAAGGUGACUGCCGGUGACAAACCGGAGGAAGGUGGGGAUGACGUCAAAUCAUCAUGCCCCUUAUGACCUGGGCUACACACGUGCUACAAUGGGCGGUACAACGGGAAGCGAAGCCGCGAGGGGGAGCCAAUCCUAUAAAGUCGUUCUCAGUUCGGAUUGCAGGCUGCAACUCGCCUACAUGAAGUCGGAAUCGCUAGUAAUCGCGGAUCAGCAUGCCGCGGUGAAUACGUUCCCGGGUCCU
Molecule: ribosomal RNA, 336 nt
Filed under: Paenibacillus sp.
Lineage: Bacteria; Bacillati; Bacillota; Bacilli; Caryophanales; Paenibacillaceae
Description: bacterial SSU rRNA
Rfam family: Bacterial small subunit ribosomal RNA
Source: RNAcentral